RNAcentral lists this ribosomal RNA (189 nucleotides) under uncultured bacterium. RNAcentral describes it as "partial 16S ribosomal RNA". It matches the Rfam family "Bacterial small subunit ribosomal RNA", at positions 338 to 524 of the family's 1533-position model. The record is from RNAcentral.
CCUACGGGAGGCAGCAGUAAGGAAUAUUGGUCAAUGGACGCAAGUCUGAACCAGCCAUGCCGCGUGAAGGAUGAAGGUCCUCUGGAUUGUAAACUUCUUUUAUAUGGGACGAAACCCUCGAAUUCUUUCGGGAUUGACGGUACCAUAGGAAUAAGCACCGGCUAACUCCGUGCCAGCAGCCGCGGUAAU